GACGAACGCUGGCGGCGUGCUUAACACAUGCAAGUCGAACGAGAAGAGAUGAGAAGCUUGCUUCUUAUCGAUUCGAGUGGCAAACGGGUGAGUAACGCGUAAGCAACCUGCCCUCUAGAUGGGGACAACAGCUGGAAACGGCUGCUAAUACCGAAUACGUUCUUUCUGCCGCAUGGCAGAAGGAAGAAAGGGAGGCUCUUCGGAGCUUUCGCUGGAGGAGGGGCUUGCGUCUGAUUAGCUAGUUGGAGGGGUAACGGCCCACCAAGGCGACGAUCAGUAGCCGGUCUGAGAGGAUGAACGGCCACAUUGGGACUGAGACACGGCCCAGACUCCUACGGGAGGCAGCAGUGGGGAAUCUUCCGCAAUGGACGAAAGUCUGACGGAGCAACGCCGCGUGAACGAUGACGGCCUUCGGGUUGUAAAGUUCUGUUAUACGGGACGAAUGGUACGACGGUCAAUACCCGUCGUAAGUGACGGUAC
Molecule: ribosomal RNA, 480 nt
Filed under: uncultured bacterium
Lineage: Bacteria
Description: bacterial SSU rRNA
Rfam family: Bacterial small subunit ribosomal RNA
Source: RNAcentral